GAAGAGUCUAGUCAGAGUGAAGAUUUAGAUGAAGAUACCACAAGUAAUACAGUCAGAAUUGAUGAAGGAGCAAGCUCGCAUGAACAACCUAUGUUCAUGGUAUUUGAAAAAUUUUGCUUUAACUGCAAGGCUGAAAAUCCAAAAGUACACAUUAAAAACAUUGGUUCGAUGGCCAUUGUAGAG
Xenia sp. Carnegie-2017 is the source of this 183-nucleotide long non-coding RNA. RefSeq lists it as uncharacterized. Lineage: Eukaryota; Metazoa; Cnidaria; Anthozoa; Malacalcyonacea; Xeniidae. The record is from RefSeq and is a predicted model, not a curated record. The transcript is spliced from 2 exons.